CAUCCAGACUCCUACGGGAGGCAGCAGUGAGGAAUAUUGGUCAAUGGGCGAGAGCCUGAACCAGCCAAGUCGCGUGAGGGAAGACGGCCCUACGGGUUGUAAACCUCUUUUGUCGGGGAGCAAAGCGAGUCACGUGUGACUCAUUGAGAGUACCCGAAGAAAAAGCAUCGGCUAACUCCGUGCCAGCAGCCGCGGUAAUACGGAGGAUGCGAGCGUUAUCCGGAUUUAUUGGGUUUAAAGGGUGCGCAGGCGGAAUGUCAAGUCAGCGGUAAAAUUUCGGGGCUCAACCCCGUCGUGCCGUUGAAACUGGCGUUCUUGAGUGAGCGAGAAGUAUGCGGAAUGCGUGGUGUAGCGGUGAAAUGCAUAGAUAUCACGCAGAACUCCGAUUGCGAAGGCAGCAUACCGGCGCUCAACUGACGCUCAUGCACGAAAGCGUGGGUAUCGAACAGGAUUAGAUACCCGAGUACAC
RNAcentral lists this ribosomal RNA (469 nucleotides) under uncultured bacterium. RNAcentral describes it as "bacterial SSU rRNA". It matches the Rfam family "Bacterial small subunit ribosomal RNA", at positions 328 to 795 of the family's 1533-position model. The record is from RNAcentral.